Molecule: long non-coding RNA, 315 nt
Organism: Onychostoma macrolepis
Lineage: Eukaryota; Metazoa; Chordata; Actinopteri; Cypriniformes; Cyprinidae
Exons: 3
Source: RefSeq, a predicted model, not a curated record
GAGGUUUUGGGAUUGAAAAUCUUGUGCCACAUGAUCUUCCGUAAAAAAAAAAGUCAGUUAUGCAGAUUGGAAAAGACAUGGAUGCAGCAAGGAUCCAGCUGAUUACUUCAGAUUUGGUGGACUGCUCUUUAUCUGCUGUGACUGUCACUUUUGGUGCAGAAUCAUGGACCUUUAUUUGUAUAUUUUGAUUUUACUUAUUAUUACACUUGUGUAGCUAGUAUUCAGGAUUAAAAUACAAUGUAAUUUUUGUCCACAUAUAAUAUCAGAGCUAUAUUGAAUCCAAUAGGGUCAGUCAAAUAUUGAGAAAAAACACUA